Molecule: ribosomal RNA, 253 nt
Filed under: uncultured bacterium
Lineage: Bacteria
Description: partial 16S ribosomal RNA
Rfam family: Bacterial small subunit ribosomal RNA
Source: RNAcentral
UACGGAGGGUGCGAGCGUUGUCCGGAAUCACUGGGCGUAAAGGGCGCGUAGGCGGCCUGAUAAGUAGGAGGUGAAAUCCUGCGGCUUAACCGCAGGGCUGCCUUCUAAACUGUCAGGCUAGAGCACGGUAGAGGCAGAUGGAAUUCCCGGUGUAGCGGUGGAAUGCGUAGAGAUCGGGAGGAACACCAGUGGCGAAGGCGACACGCUGGGUCAUACCUGACGCUAAAACGCGACAGCAUGGGGAGCGAACGGG